CGGGUUUUCCCCAAAUCCUUCCCUCUUAUCUUCACACGACCUUUAGGUUUUAUCUUUUAGAAUCACCUUCCCAAUCCCAUCAACGUUUCAGUCCAGUGGCUGGAGCUUCGAAUUAGGUAUGAACGAGCAUUGGCCGUAUCCCAAACCAGAAUUAGGGUUUCAAAUUGUACAAUUUGCAUAUUUAAGUUGAGGAGAUUUUCAUAUCGAUUACGUGGAGUGUGUACUCUUAUUCAAAUUGCAUCACUCAUUAGGUCCUUUGGAGAUCAAUGGCUACUCUUUCACUUGUGACUGUCGUCUCUGCCAUAUUACGAUGAGCCUUUCAUUCAGUACAAAGUCAGGCUCAAAACAAAUGUAAGCCUCUUGUGUUAGAAUCUCAAUUUCAAACAAGUCCAGACUUUGGAUUUUUUAUUGCUUGAUAUAUCUUGCUUAAUAAUAUUCGGCUAAAAUAAACUUGUGCUACCUUGUAACCUGGUACUUUCCAACAACUUAUUUGAAGACAAGCUCAAUAGUUAGUAUUUAGUUUAUUAGUUUUUUGAAUGUUAUAAAAUAGUUAUUUCCUUAGUUAUAUUUUAAGUUUCUAAGUUGCAUUAUGUUCAACAAGAUUAAAUUCUUGAUGGAAUUCUCAACAUGAUCACUAAUCCAAGGGUUGAAAGUUGAGGGAAGUCGUACUGGUAAAGUCAUAGCAAGAUGGUGAAGGUGACGAUAUCCUUAACUAUUGAUAUUACUAUUGUAAAUUCUUGGAACUCGCAUGCUUCAGCUUUGGCUAAUUUAGGAGCCAAAUCAUCAAUAACCAAACUUCUAACCUGGAUCACGGAUCCAUUAAAUUAUUCACAUAGACACCAAAAAUUGUUUUAUUCCUCUAUUUUGUUACCAUAGAUGGACUCUGUGAUUGUAUUGGUUGGGAUUUUCUAUAUUUUUACCAAGGUUCUAGAUUGAGGAUUUCAGGAUGGUGUUGAUAGUUGCAAGUUUGUGGUUAUAGACUUUUUAUGGGUUCUUUUCUUCAUGAAUCAAAGGAGCAGAGCUUCUAUUUGAUUUCUCUUUGUUUAUUUCUUCUCCUCCAUCAUCACCUUCUUAUUUAUUUUCUUUCAUUCACUAAUCCCAUCACCAUUGCUAUGAAUCGAAGUCCUUAUUGAUCAAUAUCUAUUUUUGUGGCUUCAUUGUUGGAGCAUAAGUAGCAUAUUCAGAAACAGAUGAAACGUCCACUACUGCUGAUCACCUUCAGAUAGAGCAAGACAUGACAUUUAAUUGGGAAAAAUCUCCUCACUUCAUCUAUGAAGUUGACUAAAUACCAUUAUUUCAUCUCCAUACUUAGAGGAAAGAUAAUCAUAGCUCUAAGAGCUACCACAUUCUUGGUGAAACUAGAAAAAAGCCCAGGUAUCCUAAGAUUUGAUUGCUCCCCUCAAUUGGGAAGUGGCAGCCCUUCCGAAUUUGGACAAAAAUCUUUUUUCCUUGCUGGUGUGGUUAAUGCAAUAACUCAGGAGUUGUGUAGCAAUACUCUUGAGUGUGUUAUCAAUAGGUUGAAAAUGGCAGCUCAAAAUUUUCUUUCGCUCGAAACAAGUGGAAGGAGCUCACAAGAUAGGAGAGACGUUAUGAUUAAAUUACAUUGUAUUUUUCAAGAUAAUCACAUUUUUAUCACAAGACUUAUUAUUUUGUCAUUAAUUGAUUAUAUUUGUGAUAAAACAUAGUAUUUGUCCUAGAA
Lycium barbarum (goji berry) is the source of this 1699-nucleotide RNA transcript. RefSeq lists it as uncharacterized. The record is from RefSeq and is a predicted model, not a curated record. Lineage: Eukaryota; Viridiplantae; Streptophyta; Magnoliopsida; Solanales; Solanaceae. The transcript is spliced from 5 exons.